This 780-nucleotide ribosomal RNA is filed under the name uncultured Bacteroidota bacterium. RNAcentral's name for it is "uncultured Bacteroidetes bacterium partial 16S ribosomal RNA". It matches the Rfam family "Bacterial small subunit ribosomal RNA", at positions 60 to 824 of the family's 1533-position model. The record is from RNAcentral. Lineage: Bacteria; Pseudomonadati; Bacteroidota.
AGUCGAACGGUAACAGGAAAUAGCUUGCUAUUUUGCUGACGAGUGGCGCACGGGUGCGUAACGCGUAUACAAUCUACCUUUUGCUGAGGGAUAGCCCACAGAAAUUUGGAUUAAUACCUCAUGGUAUUAUUGAUAGGCAUCUAUUAAUAAUUAAAGGUUACGGCAAAAGAUGAGUAUGCGUCCCAUUAGCUAGUUGGUGAAGUAACGGUUCACCAAGGCAACGAUGGGUAGGGGUCCUGAGAGGGAGAUCCCCCACACUGGUACUGAGACACGGACCACACUCCUACGGGAGGCAGCAGUGAGGAAUAUUGGACAAUGGGCGAGAGCCUGAUCCAGCCAUGCCGCGUGCAGGAAGACUGCCCUAUGGGUUGUAAACUGCUUUUAUACAGGAAGAAUAAGCCUUACCUGUAAGGUGAUGACGGUACUGUAAGAAUAAAGACCGGUUAACUCCGUGCCAACACCCGCGGUAAUACGGAGGGCCCCAGCGUUAUCCGGAAUUAUUGGGUUUAAAGGGGCCCCAAGGGGGAUGAUUAAAUCAGGGGUGAAAGUUUGCACCUCAACUGUAAAAAUUGCCUUUGAUAAUGGCCCUCUUGAGUUGUAAUUGAAAAAAGCGGAAAAUGUAAUGGUACCGGGGAAAAUGCUAAAUUUUUCCAUAAAACACCAAUUGCCAAAGGGGGUUACUAAAACCUAACUGACCCCUAAUGGACAAAAAAAUGGGUUAGCGAAACAAGAUAAAAAACCCUGGGAGUCCCCCCCCCAAAAAAAAGGAAACUACCUGUU